AAAACCCUAAGGUGGAAGCCAUAAAAUAUACUCAAAGUACAUAAUUCCAACCCUUGCAGUCUCUAUGAAUCCUGGCUCAGUCUCUCUGCAUUCAUAUAUGCCUUGAUCCACACAGUUUAGUGUAUGGGGAUGUGGCUCAGCACUAGAGCACAUAUUUAGCAUAUAUGAGGUCCUGGGAUUGAUUCUCAGCUUCUCCAAGGACUUUUAACUUUCCUGUAUUCAUUUUCAGGAUGUUUCUGCACAAAGUAUCCCAGACUUUAAAUUUUGGUGAGGAGAUCAUAUAUGCAUAGCUAAUUAUUGGAUGAAACAGCUCAUCUCUCACCAUGGCAUCAAUGUUCAUUUCUGACUGUGACUACUUUUCCAUGGAGACCGCCAUAGUCUAGUGAGUAGAACGAGGUCAUGCCUACAGGGAUAUGUUUUGUUCACAGAAAAAAAAAAAAACAAACUCAGCUUUCUUGCUGGUAGCAGUUUCACUAAUAGGUGCUAUUGUUGUUUUUUUUUAAUUGAAAAUGGAUUGUUUUCUCAUUCUUUAUAUGUCCUAAAAAUCUUAUCAAAACCCUGAACUGGAAGCCAUAAAAUAUACUCAAAAGUCUUGACUCAGUACCUUGCAGUCAAUAGGAAUGCUGGAUCAGUCUCUCUGCAUUCAUAUAGGCUUUGGUCAGGGAGUUGGCAAUGUGGGGAUGUAGCUCAGUGGUAGAGCACAUAUUUGGCGUGUAUGAGGUCCCGGGUUCGAUUCUCGGCAUCUCCAUGAACUUUUAACUUUCAAGGUUUUCCUUUUCAGGAUGUUUCUGCACAAGGUAUCACAGACUUUAAAAUUUUUUAGGAGAUCAUAGCUAAUUAUUGGGUGAAAUUAUUCAUCUGUCACCAAGACAUCAAUGUUCAUCUCAGACUGUGACUACUUUUCCAUGGAGACCACCACAAUCUGAAAUUUUACAGCCUGAUGCGGAGUUGGUAUUGCUGAGUGUUCCAUAUUCAUCUGGAAAGUCGAAUGCUGCAUGUUUAUGUGUGGAAUAUAUGCACAUGACUACAUAUGCCCAUGGUGGCCAGGAAAGGACAUCAGUUCCUCUGGAUCUGGACUUACAGGUAAUUGAGAGCCUCCAGGUGAGUACU
This is a long non-coding RNA of Peromyscus leucopus (white-footed mouse), 1110 nucleotides long. RefSeq lists it as uncharacterized. The transcript is spliced from 3 exons. NCBI's taxonomy places the organism in Eukaryota, Metazoa, Chordata, Mammalia, Rodentia, Cricetidae. The record is from RefSeq and is a predicted model, not a curated record.